Molecule: ribosomal RNA, 467 nt
Filed under: uncultured bacterium
Lineage: Bacteria
Description: partial 16S ribosomal RNA
Rfam family: Bacterial small subunit ribosomal RNA
Source: RNAcentral
GACGAACGCUGGCGGCGUGCUUAACACAUGCAAGUCGAACGGAAAGGCCCUGCUUUUGUGGGGUGCUCGAGUGGCGAACGGGUGAGUAACACGUGAGUAACCUGCCCUUGACUUUGGGAUAACUUCAGGAAACUGGGGCUAAUACCGGAUAGGAGCUCCUGCUGCAUGGUGGGGGUUGGAAAGUUUCGGCGGUUGGGGAUGGACUCGCGGCUUAUCAGCUUGUUGGUGGGGUAGUGGCUUACCAAGGCUUUGACGGGUAGCCGGCCUGAGAGGGUGACCGGCCACAUGGGGACUGAGAGACGGCCCAGACGCCUACGGGAGGCAGCAGUGGGGAAUAUUGCACAAUGGGCGGAAGCCUGAUGCAGCAACGCCGCGUGCGGGAUGACGGCCUUCGGGUGGUAAACCGCUUUCGCCUGUGACGAAGCGUGAGUGACGGUAAUGGGUAAAGAAGCACCGGCUAACUACGU